CACGUAUGGGGCAAGCGUUGUUCGGAAUUAUUGGGCGUAAAGGGUGCGCAGGCUGUGCUAUAAGUCAGGUGUUAAAGGUUGGAGCUCAACUCCAACAUGCCGCUUGAAACUGUAGUACUUGAGUUCUAGAGGGGAAGCUGGAAUUCCUGGUGUAGGGGUGAAAUCUGUAGAUAUCAGGAAGAACACCGGUGGCGAAGGCGAGCUUCUGGCUAUGAACUGACGCUGAGGCACGAAAGUAUGGGGAGCAAACAGG
RNAcentral lists this ribosomal RNA (253 nucleotides) under uncultured bacterium. RNAcentral describes it as "partial 16S ribosomal RNA". It matches the Rfam family "Bacterial small subunit ribosomal RNA", at positions 524 to 776 of the family's 1533-position model. The record is from RNAcentral.